CACUGUCCCUGUCUACUA
RNAcentral lists this small nuclear RNA (18 nucleotides) under Arabidopsis thaliana (thale cress). RNAcentral's name for it is "snRNA_07258". Lineage: Eukaryota; Viridiplantae; Streptophyta; Magnoliopsida; Brassicales; Brassicaceae. The record is from RNAcentral.